Mus musculus (house mouse) is the source of this 4218-nucleotide long non-coding RNA. RefSeq annotates it as predicted gene, 34249. The record is from RefSeq and is a predicted model, not a curated record. The transcript has 3 exons. NCBI's taxonomy places the organism in Eukaryota, Metazoa, Chordata, Mammalia, Rodentia, Muridae.
AAUCUGCCUGCCUCUGCCUCCCAAGUGCUGGGAUUAAAGGCGUGCGCCACCACGCCUGGCUGUGUGGUCAUUCUCUUAACAAAGUGCACCAAGGGCUUGACGUGGCUGUUGGCUACUUUUAGUUUAGAGCACUUUCACAUUCAUAAAAGAGCUGCAGAAUCCAUGUGUGGCAUGCACCCUGCUUCCCUAAUCCCACACUUAAAUUGUAUGCUGUAAACUUGCUUAUUGUAAAUGUGUGGCUUGGUGGUUUUUAAUGACACUCCCAAGGUCACGCACCCUCCCUGCACUGUAAUUUCAGGCUGUCCUUUUAAACCUUAAGUCCACCCCCAUGCCCAUAAUGUACCUGCGGUGGCCAGCGCAGCGGGAAAAGUCUGUAAACUCAGGCCUCUGAGCACUUGCUCUAUGAUCUCCCAGUGCUCCUGGUUCACCCCCGCCCCCAACACCCCCAACGCCCCCAACGGUGAUGGGCCACAUCCCUUCAAACUAGGGAGCAAAAUAAGGCCUGGCUAAGUUGCCUUCUGUCUGGUGUUUUGUCACAACAACAAAAACAGUAACUGAUCCACAGUCCUCACUCAUCUUCCCUCUCUAGCCACAGAGACUUGGUAAUCUGUUUUCUACCUCCAUGAUGUUGGCUCUCUGAGGCCUUUGAUGUAUAUGCUGCUGUGCGGGCGACAUGUGGUGUUUAAUGACUAAUUUUUUUUUCAGUUAGCAAGUUUUUGAAGUUCAUUUAUAUUGUAAUUUAUAUCUAUUUUAUUCUUUUUUUUUACUGCUGUGGGUUAUGUCAUUGUAUGGACACCACUCUUGUUUAUCCUUUCCCAACUAAUGAGUCUUUGGACUGUUUCCAAGUUUUGGUUAUUAAUGAUACUGCUAUCUGUGUGCCGCUUUUGUGUGAAUGGAUGUUUUUAUUUCUGUCAUGUAUACUAAACACAGAAUUGCUUGGUUGUGUACGGUAAGUUCGUAUUUAACAUUUCAGAAAUCACCCCACUCCAGAUGUUCCUGCACCACUGCCGCACAGUCCAUGGUCCAAAAUGGUUCUGCUUUCCCCCGCACUGCUAUCAACAUUUGUUAUUGUGUACCUUUUGUUUUCUUUCUAAUUACAACCACUCUAGUGAGGAUGGAGUGGAACCCCCUUGUGAUUUUGACUUGUAUUUCUCCAGUGACUAAGGGAGAAAGCUUGGUUUCUUUGUGAUUUUUUUCAUCACAUGUCUUUUCACAUGCUUGCAUUAGCCGAACAUCCUUUCACCUGUGUCCACUUCAGGAAAACACUCCUUCACAUGUUUGCCCCAACAAAAUGGCCAACAUGCCAAUAUAUUCGUGCUUUACCAUAAUUUAUAAAAGUAAUAAUAUAAAUCAGUAGUUUUAGACACACAUAUUCUAAAGCCCCCAGCCAAGGCCCAAGACUUGUGGUAUCACCACAUCCUCUACUCACAACACCUGCCCUGUUCUUGUGACCUAAAGGCAGCAGGGUGAGAGAUAAGCAGGGUGCCUGUUUUUGCACCUGGCUCCAGGGCGAGUGGAUGGCCGUGGUCCAGUGGUAGAGCCCUUACCUAGCAUGUGUGAGACCCUGGGUUUGAUUACCAGAAUAAAUAGCUAAAUAAGUAAAUAAAUUUGGUGACUCUAAUGUCGUUUCUAAACAUUCUGUUUCUUUUCAGACUCUCACCUCCUUUUUCAUAAUAGUAGCAAUGGUAUUGGUUAACUUCCUGUUAGUCUAACAAAAUAUCUAAAAGCGAUAAAGAUAAAUGGGAUUUUAGCUCCCAAGAGGUUCCAGUGCAUGAGUAAUUGACCUUCCAUAGCACAGUGAGGUAAAACUGUACACCAGUGCAUACACUAGCAAGAUUUUGCUGAAAGGACCCAGAUGUAGCUGUCUCUUGUGAGACUGUGCUGGGGCCUAGCAAACACAGAAGUGGAUGCUCACAGUCAGCUAUUGAAUGGACCACAGGGCCCCCAAUGGAGGAACUAGAGAAAGCACUCAAGGAACUAAAGGGAACUGCAACCCUAUAAGUGGAACAACAAUAUGAACUAAGCAGUACCCCGGAGCUCUUGUCUCUAGCUGCAUAUGUAUCAAAAGAUGGCCUAAUAGGCCAUCACUUGAAAGAGAGAUCCAUUGGACUUGCAAACUUUAUAUGCCCCAGUACAGGGGAAUGCCAGGGCCAAAAAGGGGGAGUGGGUGGGUAGGGGAGUGGGGGGGGUGGGUAUGGGGGACUUUUGGUAUAGCAUUGGAAAUGUAAAUGAGCUAAAUACCUAAUAAAAAAUGGAAAAAAAAAGAAACAUAAAUAAGGGGACAGGGAUCCCAUGAUCUCUUUCAAAGGCAUAGUUCCCAAGACCUAAAGACCUCCAGAAAGACCUGCCUCUUCCCAGGUCCCAAACUUCUCAGCAGCACAGCCCUGAGAACCAAAGCCAUUAACAUUUAGCACUCAAAUGGUAGAAAUCACCCAUCCCAAGUAUAUUUGCAAUUUUCUAAGCAGUGUAGGGAAAGGAGUCAUUUAAUCCUCACAGCCCCCCCCCCCCCGCUCCCUCCCGUGGGACCAUUAAUAGCCACACUUGACAGAUGAGGAACCUAAGCACAGAACUUUAAGGUGAGUCUCCCAAAGCUACCUGGACAGUAGAUGGUAGUGUUGACUUUCAAACACAGCAAUUGAUCUGAGUUUCUAGGCUUAUAGCUACCAUGUGAGAACAUCUUUCAUCCAGUUUGUCCUUUGCUGAUGUUUAAUUUUAUCUUCUAGGGGCUAAUUGUUUGAAACGUGAUUGCCUGACAAUCUCUUGCAAGUGAUCAUCCUAUCAUAUGAAAGUCUCAGGAUCCCCUAGUGCUGGGCUGUGUGUCUGUUGGCCCUUCUGAGGUGUCUCCCUGUAUUUUGUUGUUUCUGUUUGUGAGCUCCUCUAGCAAACUUGUUUUUCCCAUGAGGCUUUCCUGUGGCUUGCAUGGUAAUGGAGUCCCUCAAGAGCUCUUUGGCAUUUGCCACAGGAAAAUCUCCACCUGGACCACUUCUUCACUGACUACUGAUCAUCUCAGAGAGCACCACUGCCUUGGUUCCUGAACCAGCUCUUUGGUCACUUACCAUCUAGGGAGCACUCACCUUCUUGCCCUGGGCCGCCUGAAGACAUGAAGUUACAUGAAGUUCAUGCCUGAAGACAUGAAGGAAAUGAAGGGGGAGGAGGAGAAGCACACCAGUACUGUAAAUGCUGUAUGAUUCCUUAUUUUUUAUUUUAUGUGUAUAACUUAUGCGUGCAUGUUUAUAUGUGUGUUCAUGUAUGUGAGACUUAACUGGGUGUAUAUGUCUACCACGUAUUAUAUGUGUCAUUUUGAUUCAAUAUUAUAUUGUGUCUUUAUUAUGGAAUUAAAAUUUAUCUUAAAAUAAUGGAAGAAGUUACAUUCAUGGAGAAAACCAACCAGAAGAACUUGUUUUUCACAUGAUCUCUUUUGUCCACUAAGAGGCAUAUAAAUUAUUUUCUGUCUCUCUAUGUUAUUGAUGGCUUUCUGAUAUUCCAGUGUGGGUGUGGCCCUUUAGAAAUCACUGCAACUUUUAACUAACCCCACCUGUAGAAACAUUUCACAUCCUCACUUCCGACUUCCCUUUCUGUUAGUCACAUACCUGGGGCCUUCUUUGAUCUUGUCAGUCCAUCCAAGCAUUUAAAAUAUUUUCGAUAGAUUUUGUGCAGCUCUCUUACGCAAUGCAGAAGAGAUUAUCAAAUUACUUCUUUGUAUUUUUUAUGAGAAAUAGAAGUCCCAUUCUACUCUUUAAAAAGAACUUUCUUUUUAUUACAGUAAUGAAAAGUUGUGAAUUCAUACACUUAUUGGAAGGAAAUGAAGGGGGAGGAGGAGAAGCACACCAGUACUGUAAAUGCUAGACUACCGAGCAAGGCUGGGAUGUCUGAAGUGGGCCUACAACUAGCUGUGUUGCAUACUAGGAGAGAACAGAAUGGAUCAGUUACAGAAUGAUUGAGGAAUGUAGGCUGGAUACCUGGGAGGAGACGAUCCUGGAAUCAUGGAGAGUGGUAGGUUUGCAAGAGGGAAAGCAUUCUUGGAAGGCAGGUCCUCAGACCCCUGCAACCAAGAAAUCAACUCAAACUCAUGCAGCCUUGAGAAUGUCGUACAUGCACAUCCUAAAAGUCACUCCAUGGUGCUCGUCCACUGUCAGCAUGCUGAAAUGCCUCAGCCAGAUACUUAAACUCCACGUCUGGGUUCUUGAUGGUGAUGAUGAUGAUGAUGACGAUGAUGAU